UGUGAAUUCUUUGGUACUACCUGCUUAAUUUUACCAAAAGAACUAAUUUUUUUGUUUAAUUCUGUGGUCCAUGCCUAUUCUGAUCCAGAGGUCAGCUUUCUGGAGUGAGAGUGUUGGAUCGAUUCAGCCGAACGCAAGGCAAGGUAACAAGGUGUUCGUUAUUUUCUGUGUGUAAAUAUGCUCUACCCCCAUGAUUCAAGCAUGUGUCGUUGAAUAUCUCUGCAGUUGCAUCUCCUCAUGUGAUGAAUGAAUUCUUUAUAUUUCUUACGUGGUUUGUUGUAACUGCGAUAUGGCGUUAAUUUGUUGGGUGUUGUAUGAAUUGGAUGUUGAGCCGUAUAUCAAUGUGUUGAUGUGUUCAUUGUGUGGUAUACUUGGCAGCAGUUGUUAUAGCAUUUUGUUGAGAAGCAGCCAUGGCGAUGACUAGGCGACAGAGGGCAUAUACUGUGUUGGUGCUUGAGGAAAUAAUUCGUGUAUUAAAUCUUCAGCUUAUUAUUAUAAUUGAUUUGCUAAACAGGAUGAAAACAAAGAAGAGGAAACAUACUGAGAUUGUUGAGUCAUAUUGUAUAAUUGAACGCAUGCCUAGUCAAGCCAUACAUUUGGACAGGAUAAUAGGGAGUAGUGAUAUUGAUUGUGUCUCGAACUUGCGAAUGGACCGUAACACAUUCAGUAGGCUGUGUCAAUUGUUACGCCAAUUAGGAGGUUUGCGUAACGGUCGCCACGUAACCGUGGAAGAGCAGGUUGCAAUGUUUGUCUCAGUACUAGCACACCAUAAGAAGAAUAGGAUCAUUGGUUUUGAUUUUUGGAGGUCCGGGCAGACAAUCUCACGGUAUGUCCACCUGGUUUUGAAAGCAAUAUUGAGAUUGCAUGUUAUCUUGUUGGUAACCCCAGAGCCUAUUCCCGAUGUUUCGGUCGAUCACAGGUGGAAGUGGUUUAAGGUAAAAUCAUGUGUAUAACAAGUACUCUACUUAUGUGUCGUCAUCUUCUCAUGUGGGCUUGUUUAAAUUUGCAAUAGGGUUGUUUAGGUGCUCUAGAUGGAACAUACAUUAAUGUUAUGGUACCAAACGCCGAUAAGCCACGUUAUAGGACGAGAAAGGGUCAAAUAUCCACCAAUACCCUUGCUGCGUGUGAUCGAAAUUUGAAGUUUACUUAUGUGCUGCCUGGGUGGGAAGGUUCAGCUGCUGACUCACGGAUUUUGCGCGACGCCGUGAACAGAGUUCACGGUUUGAAGGUUCCUAAGGGUACAUACCAUCUUUGAUUGCUUUCCCAAUAUUUAUGUGUGUUUUUUUUGUAUGUUACAGUCGAGGUAUUUGAUUAAUGGAUUCGUUUGUCUACUAGGGAAUUACUAUUUGGUUGACAAUGGAUAUCCGAAUUGCGAGGGUUUUUUAUCACCAUAUAAGGGAGUGAGGUACCACUUGAAAGAAUGGGGACCAGGAGCUACCAGACCACAGAACGCGGAAGAGUUGUUUAACAUGCGGCACACGAAAGCAAGGAAUUGCAUCGAACGUGCAUUUGGCAUCAUGAAGAUGCGGUGGGGCAUACUUCGGAGCACAACGUAUUAUCCAGUGAAGGUCCAGAACAGAUUAAUCAUGGCCUGCUUCUUGCUAAACAAUUUCAUCCGCUCUCAAAUGGUUAAUGAUCCUCUAGAGCAGCAAUUUGAUGAUAUUGCCAAUAUGGAAGCUGAAGCAGGGCCUGAUGUCGAUGAAUUCGUUGAUUCCGUUGAGGUUUCAAGGGAAUGGAAUGCAAGUAGGGAUGCAAUUGCUCAAGGGAUGUGGCAGCAGUUCUUGUUGGGUCCUUAGAUUGUUGUAGCAGUUUGUUGGACUUGAAAAUCUGUAAAUUGAGUGAUGUGUGAGUUAAUUUGACAAUAGUCUAUCAGCUUUCCACGGGUGCAUUUGUUGUUGGAUACUUGGUUAUUUGCUGCUAUUUUAGUUGAAAUCUUGAUUGGAUAUUAGCUCUAUUUUGUUGCCAUUUGGUGUUACUUGUGUUGAAUAAUCUUUUCAUUUUAUUUGGUUUGAUUCCUGCUUUUCAAAACUCCUUAUCUUCUUGCAGCUGUGUUGGAACCAUGGAAGUCUGUGAAGAUGAUGCCAAGUUGAUCCCAAUGUGUCAAUGUGGAAGAGGCCGAAUGAACCUCUUUAAGGCUUCACAACAAGCAAUAAACGCAGGUCGUUUCUACUACAAAUGUCCGGAAGCAG
This 2189-nucleotide long non-coding RNA is filed under the name Salvia miltiorrhiza (redroot sage). Its description in RNAcentral is "long non-coding RNA (SMIL_LNC006729)". Lineage: Eukaryota; Viridiplantae; Streptophyta; Magnoliopsida; Lamiales; Lamiaceae. The record is from RNAcentral.